GACGAACGCUGGCGGCGUGCUUAACACAUGCAAGUCGAACGGAAAGGCCCUGCUUUUGUGGGGUGCUCGAGUGGCGAACGGGUGAGUAACACGUGAGUAACCUGCCCUUGACUUUGGGAUAACUUCAGGAAACUGGGGCUAAUACCGGAUAGGAGCUCCUGCUGCAUGGUGGGGGUUGGAAAGUCUCGGCGGUUGGGGAUGGACUCGCGGCUUAUCAGCUUGUUGGUGGGGUAGUGGCUUACCAAGGCUUUGACGGGUAGCCGGCCUGAGAGGGUGACCGGCCACAUUGGGACUGAGAUACGGACCAGACUCCUACGGGAGGCAGCAGUGGGGAAUAUUGCACAAUGGGCGGAAGCCUGAUGCAGCAACGCCGCGUGCGGGAUGACGGCCUUCGGGUUGUAAACCGCUUUCGCCUGUGACGAAGCGUGAGUGACGGUAAUGGGUAAAGAAGCACCGGCUAACUACGUG
RNAcentral lists this ribosomal RNA (468 nucleotides) under uncultured bacterium. RNAcentral's name for it is "partial 16S ribosomal RNA". It matches the Rfam family "Bacterial small subunit ribosomal RNA", at positions 28 to 507 of the family's 1533-position model. The record is from RNAcentral.